CUUCGUGCCACACUUUAUCAAACGCUUGUGAUACAUCUAGAAAUUCUGCUGGGCAGUAUUCCUUAUUUUCGAAUACUCUUUCGAUUGUCGUAGUUAGCCUAUGUAUUUGUUCUAUUGUUGAGUGUUUGUUUCUGAAACCAAAUUGAAAGUCCGGUAUUUUCACUAAAGGUCUUAGUCGUUUAAUCAGUAAUUUUUCGAAGAUAUUUGAAAUUGUUGGCAGCAGUGAGAUUGGCCUGUAAGAAGUCACUUUAUCUGGGGGUUUAUCUUAUUUUCGUAACAUAAUUACUUGCGCAAUUUUCAAGCUUUUCGGUACAAAUUUUAAUGUUAAACAGGCAUUGAAAAGAUAUGUGAUCUCAUCUAUUCCCGUGAAGUUUUUUAAUCUUUUGUUUGGUCCGUACGUUGGUGUUGUGUCCACGUUUGAUUGUAUAACAUCGUGCGGUUGAAAGACUUCUGCAAGAUGUUUUGCGGAGAAUUCCGUUUUUUCACUAUCUUCCCUUAGCCAUUUCCCAGUGUAGUCCUUUAUAGGAGCGAUUUGGACUUGUGGGCGUUUGAAUCUUCUGGUUGAUUUCCAUAGUGAAUAAUCUUUAUCUUUAUCUUUAUCUGGACUUAAAUUGCUCAGGUAGUUGUCAAGACAUUCUU
Bradysia coprophila is the source of this 639-nucleotide long non-coding RNA. The record is from RefSeq and is a predicted model, not a curated record. NCBI's taxonomy places the organism in Eukaryota, Metazoa, Arthropoda, Insecta, Diptera, Sciaridae.